GGGCUUGCUUUGGCAGCACAUAUACAAAAAUUGGAAUGAUACCGAGAAGAUUAGCAUGGCCCCUGUGCAAGGAUGACACGCAAAUUUGUGAAGCAUUCCAUAUUUUU
This 107-nucleotide small nuclear RNA is filed under the name Mus caroli (Ryukyu mouse). The record is from RNAcentral. Lineage: Eukaryota; Metazoa; Chordata; Mammalia; Rodentia; Muridae.